UACGGAGGAUCCGAGCGUUAUCCGGAUUUAUUGGGUUUAAAAGGGUGCGUAGGCGGCUUUUUAAGUCAGCGGUGAAAUUUUGCAGCUCAACUGUAAAAGUGCCUUCGAAACUGGUUUCCUUGAGUGUAGAUGAAGUAGGCGGAAUUUGUGGUGUAGCGGUGAAAUGCAUAGAUAUCACGAGGAACUCCGAUUGCGCAGGCAGCUUACUAAACUACUACUGACGCUCAGGCACGAAGGCGUGGGGAUCAAACAGGAUUAGAUACCCUGGUAGU
Molecule: ribosomal RNA, 272 nt
Filed under: uncultured prokaryote
Description: partial 16S ribosomal RNA
Rfam family: Bacterial small subunit ribosomal RNA
Source: RNAcentral